Molecule: small nucleolar RNA, 138 nt
Filed under: Ornithorhynchus anatinus (platypus)
Lineage: Eukaryota; Metazoa; Chordata; Mammalia; Monotremata; Ornithorhynchidae
Source: RNAcentral
AUCCUCUCAGGAUCGCACCUGGAGAGUUUCCAGUACUCUACCAGUCUUGACUACGGGACAGAGAGUCAAGCAGAGGCCUACCCAUUCCAUUCCUAGCUUGGGCAGUGGCUAGCGAGUGGAAGGCCCUCUGCUACAUGU